This 408-nucleotide ribosomal RNA is filed under the name uncultured bacterium. RNAcentral describes it as "partial 16S ribosomal RNA". It matches the Rfam family "Bacterial small subunit ribosomal RNA", at positions 30 to 526 of the family's 1533-position model. The record is from RNAcentral.
AUUGAACGCUGGCGGCGUGCUUAACACAUGCAAGUCGAACGGAGUGGCGAACGGGUGAGUAUUACGUGAGUAACCUGCCCUCAACUGUGGGAUAAGACUGGGGAACUGGGUCUAAUACUGCAUAGUUUGGGAUGGGCUCGCGGCCUAUCAGCUUGUUGGUGGGGUGAUGGCCUACCAAGGCGGUGACGGGUAGCCGGCCUGAGAGGUUGGUCGGCCACAUUGGGACGGAGAUCCGGCCCAGACUCCUACGGGAGGAAGCAGUGGGGAAUAUUGCACAAUGGGCGCAAGCCUGAUGCAGCCAUGCCGCGUGUAUGAAGAAGGCCUUCGGGUUUUAAAGUACUUUCAGCGAGGAGGCGUUACUCGCAGAAGAAGCACCGGCUAACUCCGUGCCAGCCGCCGCGGUAAUAC